AGCUGUGUGGUGAGCACAGAGCGAACUAUUCUUUCGCCUUUUACUAAAGAAUACCGUGUGUUCGCCACUUAAAGCAGCAUACGCCUAUUUUUGGAGGGAUUCUCCUUUUAGGAGCAAU
This is a small nuclear RNA of Rhododendron vialii, 118 nucleotides long. RefSeq annotates it as U5 spliceosomal RNA. The record is from RefSeq and is a predicted model, not a curated record. Lineage: Eukaryota; Viridiplantae; Streptophyta; Magnoliopsida; Ericales; Ericaceae. The transcript has a single exon.